This 3431-nucleotide long non-coding RNA is filed under the name Homo sapiens (human). Its description in RNAcentral is "HSALNT0021737". The record is from RNAcentral. Lineage: Eukaryota; Metazoa; Chordata; Mammalia; Primates; Hominidae.
CCACCCUGCCACAGCUUCGGGACGACUGGAUCGCCGCGCCUGGGCCGGAGCGAGCCAUCUGCGGGCACUAUGCAAAGCGGGAGACGGCGCGAGCGGCGCCCGGCUCACACUAGCUCUUCCAGGACGCAGGUCUUUUUUUUUUUUUUUCUUUUUCUUUUUUCAUUUCCCAGAUACAGCUGAUCGAGUUCGCCGAGUGGCCGAGCGAGUGAGCGCUCCUCCGACUUGGGUGGAGGAAGGCACGGAAAAGUAUACGGGAGAAAAAGUGGGGGUUUUAGGGGUGGGGGUGGCAUAGGAGGAGGGAGGGGGGGAUCUGCAAAUCAUUCCACUUUUUAAACGAUCAUAGGUAGUGUCAAGGAUACGUGUCACCCUUGGUUCCUUUUAAAGGGGAGGUGGACAAUAAAAUACAGGUAGGUUUGGUAUUAAAAUAAUAGGUGCCAGAGGUUUCACAUCGGGUCCGCUGCAUCUGUUAUUAGACGAAGAUCAACAUUGGCUGAGUCCCAGUUUAUCUCCAGUCCAAAUUAUCAGGAAGAGGAAUAUUUACCCUUGGUUACCUCUGACAUUAGUUGGAUUGUAGGUAAAGCAGCCUUUAAAAAUAUAUAUGUUGCAAACAUCUGGCGAUUACCCUUCACUAAUUCACUCGCCCCAGAAAGACCAAAGAUAGCUGUUCAAUACAGGAUUUACACAGUUUUGACGCCUGGGCAACAAACUUUAAAGUUUAUUAGGCAAGAAAUUUCAAACGCAUAAAUCGCAGGCUCUAAAAUAAAGCCCUAGAAAAUUUACUUUGGUUUGACAUUUCUUGCUUGAAAAAUAACCAGCAAAAUUUCUUUAGAUAAUGUGGCUCUUAAAGAUCUCCUUGGGCUUUGCAAGUUACAAAUGCAAGCGAGCCUCAGCCGCAGCUAGAACGUCCCUUUCACCGGGCACAGUAAACGGCUUUUAAUAAAGCAGCCGCGUUUAUGACCUAAAGAUCCUAUAAAAGCUGGGACUUGCAAGAGCUGCGAAGCAGAAACAUUCAUACAUAGUCUAUUAGACACUCAUUUUUGUAAGUAGGAGGAGGACAAGUAGUCUUCGUGUGUCCCUCAAAUUUAAUCAGAUCAAAGGUUGAAUCAUGCUGUGUCGUGACAACAGGGUAUUUAUGAGGUGUGUUACAAGUACACUGGCCAAACACUACCAAUGUCUUCUGCGACACACACACACACACACUCCUUCCUAGGGAAUUUACAAUUUCAGCCUCAAAUUCACCAAACCGUAAAGAGGAUAUUAAGCCCUCCCUUUGAAUAAGAAUAGCGAUGUUAGUAUGUCCGAGUCUAUCCCGGCAGGAAACUUUUGGCACGAAUUUCAAACAGUGAAAAGGAGAAAAAAAAUUAGGUCGGUCAGGUUAGGUGUCGGCGAUAAGAAAAGAGAUUGCGGGAGCAUCCCCAGCCUUCUUCUUUCCCCUUUUGCCGCCCCCACACACUCCCCCCACGCGUCUAUCACGGAAGCAACACAGAGGAGCGCACACGCACCACUCACACCUCCAACUAUUGACUGUUGUAUCAGGUGUUCUAACCGGGAUGUGACAGUUGAGGCUGGGAGCAGAAAUAAUCAACAUGCCCAUUAGAUACAGGACGGAAUAAUGCUUCUAUUGGUUGGGUCCCUUCGAGAUCCUAAACAAACCAAUUCUGAGAAUUACAACCAGAUUCAGUUGAGAGGCAAAAGUGGACGUGGAUUUUGGAAAAGGGUGCCUAAGGACUUCCAGGUCAGCCACCCACCGCUACCACCACCACCACCGCCACCACUACCACCAUCACUAUCAGCACCCUGAAGAAGGGAAGAGAGGAAAACCAACCCCAGGGUGCAGGCCUGCCUGCUGCAAGCUUUCUAGAGGCAAAACUGACUGACGGCCUCUCACUCUCAUCUCCUGUGCUCAGUGUGACGCCAAGCCCAACCUGGAUUUGUUCUGAAUGGGGGGGAAGUGAAAUGCCACAAGAUCAGUAGCAAGUAGCAGCUGCAGCGUUUUCUCUCCUGGGAACCCCACUGCUUAGAAGCCUCCUGAGUGAUGUUUGUUUAACCAACAGCUUUCAAAGUAAACAGAAGCCAAUCACUCCAAAGAAGUUGAAAUAUAACCCUUACAAGAAUUUGGAUCCAGGGGUGCUGGCAGAAAGAAAGUAAUUUUUAAAAUGAUAAAGAACCCACUCCCAAAUAAGAGUCUGCCACAUUGCUUUAAGGAGCGCAGAAUUGUCAUGAAAAUAUAAUUUCAUCGAAAGGGCUAAUUACAAUAAGUUGACCUCGAAGAAAAUCACUCUUCGCCCACAAAGACACACCCGCGGGGAUGAGGAGGUUGUCAGUGAUUGAAGGGACACACUACUACUUGAUUUUAUGGAAGUGGGCGAAAACAAUCAAAGGGAAGUACAUUCCCUGCCCUGGAGUAGUGAAGUGUAGGCUGGGAGCUCUUCGCCGCCAACCCUGGCUUUGCCUCAGGCACCGAACUUUCCAAUACCAAGAUAUUAACAGAUGGUGGUGAGCACAUGGAGGGCUGCUACUUACAUAAUCUAGCCACUCCGCCCGGCUGCCCAGAGCCCGGCGAGGAACCGGCCAGGCCGCGCGCGCGCCUUCCGAGGGGUGCUCCCUGACAUAACUUGCCUUUCUCCAACCCCACCCAUCGUUUUGAGGGUUAGCAUUUGGAGAGGCCGUGAUUUAAAAAAACCAAACAAAAACAAAAACACCCAAAACAUUGAUUUGGCUGUGCUUUGUCUUCUUCAGUCCAUAGUAGCGAAGAAGCUGGAAACCCAAAGGCUGAGAGAAACGGAGGGGAUGCCUUCGGCGAGAAAGGGGUGCUCUCCCUACGUAUCUGGGGGUUCCCGCGAGUGGAAUUUACACAAUUUACAACACUCUUGCCCACCAUCUUUGGUUCAAAUCCACAUAUCUUUUGCUGUCGCUUAAGUACAAAGGCAGUCUCGGGCCGCAACUCAAGGGGAGUGAGAUGGGGUGAGGGUGUGAGUGUGAAGGGGACACCUUUGCACGCGGGGGCGCAGUGGGCAAAGUUACGCAAAGCCUCUGGGCACCGCUACACUUCCAAGCUGUGGCAGGGUUUUAAGCGCUCGAUCCCGCUCGCAGGGAGUCCCUUUCGGAUGUGUGGCCGCCUGCUGCCUUCACGCCCUCAGCCGCCUCCCAAGAGGCCCUGUCCCUCCUGGUGUGCCUGUGUACCUCCUCCAGUGUGCCAGGGCACGUGUGCUUCCCGAGCCUCCUCCCUGACUGCGACUCGGGACCGCCGAAUCCUGCGAGGAAUACGCCUGCGUGUGUUGGAAAAGUUUCGGGUUGGGCAGGAAGGCUGGGAAUCUCCUCUCCAGGCACUCGGCAGGAGCGGGGCUUCCUCGCCCGCGGCUUCCUCCCAGUGCCCUCCUCCCUCCCCGGCCCGCCCUUCCUAGCCUCGGCCCCGCGCUAGGUGUCGCGGC